Molecule: long non-coding RNA, 342 nt
Organism: Anguilla anguilla (European eel)
Lineage: Eukaryota; Metazoa; Chordata; Actinopteri; Anguilliformes; Anguillidae
Exons: 3
Source: RefSeq, a predicted model, not a curated record
CAGAAUCACAUCGAAGAAGCUAACCUUAUAAAGCAAAGAGGCAUCAAGUUUUACCUCAGCAGUUCAAAAUAAUGCAGAGGUGUAUGCAGAUGAGGAAUAAAUCACAAGUACAGCUGAACUUACAUCGCUUACUGAUGGACAACAGGGAUAUCUAGAUUCUGCUUUGACCAAAGAUGAGCUUAAAGCUACAAUUAAAGCAUUACCAUCUGGGCUAUUGUCUUGCAGAUCUUUCGAAAAAUUCUACCUCCUGGCAGAGGCAACCAGAUUUUUGUCCAAAGGUUUUAUAUUACCAUUGACUUUAACAAGGACCAACAAAAGAAGAACAGCUCCACGGGAUCAAAG